Molecule: non-coding RNA, 1063 nt
Organism: Pogona vitticeps (central bearded dragon)
Lineage: Eukaryota; Metazoa; Chordata; Lepidosauria; Squamata; Agamidae
Source: RefSeq, a predicted model, not a curated record
GGGUGUGUUGGAUAGAUUGUCAGACUAGGACUCCGGAAACUCGAACUCCAAUUCCUGCUCUAGGAGAAAAACAUCACCAGGCAAUUGCAAUGUAAAAUACUCCUUAAAUAUCUCAUUCACCCAUAAACAACCUGAAGGAACUUAAAUCAAUUUGAGAGCCAUCUCAGACCAGAAACACAAGAAAGAAGACAGGAGGUGUAAUCGGUUUAAACGGCUUUGAAGACCCAAAGGCCAUGCACAAGAUCAAACACCGCAUAGGCAUAGCCUUGUCAAAAUAUCAGGGGCUCCUGUGCAACUGAGCCAGUAGUCAACCCCCUCAACCUCACCAGACAAUGACUUACUUCAGGAUGUGCUACUGGUAUAUAUGCUGCCACUGCUGCCUGUGUCAUGGUCUCACAUCCACCUUUGCACUGAUGACAGGAAGCUGCCUGUUGCCACCAAUCAGCUGAUCCACUAGUCAGCUGAAUGUCAGGAUCAUUGCCCAAGCUGCUACACUGCCAUGAAGCUGUUCUACCACAGAGCUGAUAAUCGAGAUAGUCCAGGUUUCCAUGUAGCCCAGGAGGCCUCCACCACGGCCACCAAGCGGCUCACCACCAGGCCGAUCAGCCCAACCUGGCUGGGCACCCCUCCCUGAAGCACUGCUGGCAGGCCAUGAUUAGCUUGGAAGUCCUCCGGUGCUAAGGCUCCUGUGAGGGAGAAGUUCCCCUUCUCGGGCCUACCUGCAUCCCUGCUCACUGGGUUGCAAACCGAGUCCCUCAGCAGGCAGUGCAAGGAAUCCUCACUUGCUUCCAAGGAAGUAUCUUCAGAUAAGGAAUGUGUUGGCUGAUUAAUCCAGAACAAAUGAUAUUUGUAGAAAUUUAUAGGAAGCACCUGAAGGAAAGAUGGGCAAAGUAUUUGGCCACUGUUCUGGGAAGGAUGACAGAACUGAACUAUCCAUACCUCACAAAAAUAUGAGGAAAAAAAUCUGAUGAGUUUUCAUGUACAUACCGCCCAAACUGUAGUGUCAAAAGCCAAAAAAAAAGAGAGGGGAGACAGGCAAAAUUUAAGAGCACAAUAAAUAUAC